This 73-nucleotide transfer RNA is filed under the name Paramuricea clavata. It matches the Rfam family "tRNA". Rfam says of the family: Transfer RNA (tRNA) molecules are approximately 80 nucleotides in length. The record is from Rfam by way of RNAcentral. Lineage: Eukaryota; Metazoa; Cnidaria; Anthozoa; Malacalcyonacea; Plexauridae.
GAUCACGUAGCUUAGUUGGCAGAGCAUUGGGCUGGUAUUCCAAAGGUCGUAGGUUCGAUUCCCACCGUGGCCA